GGGUCGGUGCCCGAGUGGCCAAAGGGAACGGGCUGUAAACCCGUCGGCUAACGCCUACGGAGGUUCAAAUCCUCCCCGGCCCACAA
This 86-nucleotide transfer RNA is filed under the name Actinomycetes bacterium. Its description in RNAcentral is "Actinobacteria bacterium tRNA-Tyr". It matches the Rfam family "tRNA". Rfam says of the family: Transfer RNA (tRNA) molecules are approximately 80 nucleotides in length. Their secondary structure includes four short double-helical elements and three loops (D, anti-codon, and T loops). Further hydrogen bonds mediate the characteristic L-shaped molecular structure. tRNAs have two regions of fundamental functional importance: the anti-codon, which is responsible for specific mRNA codon recognition, and the 3' end, to which the tRNAs corresponding amino acid is attached (by aminoacyl-tRNA synthetases). tRNAs cope with the degeneracy of the genetic code in two manners: having more than one tRNA (with a specific anti-codon) for a particular amino acid; and 'wobble' base-pairing, i.e. permitting non-standard base-pairing at the 3rd anti-codon position. Lineage: Bacteria; Bacillati; Actinomycetota; Actinomycetes. The record is from RNAcentral.